AGAACGAACGCUGGCGGCAUGCCUAACACAUGCAAGUCGAACGCUUUUGGGGCUUCGGUCCCAAAGGAGUGGCGCACGGGUGAGUAGCGCGUGGGAACCUGCCCUGGAGUGGGGGAUAACCGAGGGAAACUUCGGCUAAUACCGCAUACGCCGGGAAACCGGGAAAGAUUUAUCGCUCUAGGAGGGGCCCGCGUCGGAUUAGGUAGUUGGUGGGGUAACGGCCUACCAAGCCUGUGAUCCGUAGCUGGUCUGAGAGGAUGAUCAGCCACACUGGGACUGAGACACGGCCCAGACUCCUACGGGAGGCAGCAGUGGGGAAUAUUGGACAAUGGGCGCAAGCCUGAUCCAGCAAUGCCGCGUGAGUGAUGAAGGCCUUCGGGUUGUAAAGCCCUUUCGGCGGGGAAGAUGAUGACGGUACCCGCAGAAGAGCCCCGGCUAACUCGUGCCAGCAGCCGC
Molecule: ribosomal RNA, 456 nt
Filed under: uncultured bacterium
Lineage: Bacteria
Description: SSU rRNA
Rfam family: Bacterial small subunit ribosomal RNA
Source: RNAcentral